UACAGAGGGUGCGAGCGUUAAUCGGAAUUACUGGGCGUAAAGGGUGCGUAGGUGGUUGAUUAAGUCGUUUGUGAAAAACCCGGGCUUAACCUGGGCUGUGCGGACGAAACUGAUGAACUUGAGUCGGAUAGAGGGAAGUGGAAUUUCCGGUGUAGCGGUGAAAUGCGUAGAUAUCGGAAGGAACACCAGUGGCGAAGGCGGCUUCCUGGAUCCAGACUGACACUGAGGCACGAAAGCGUGGGGAUCAAACAGG
Molecule: ribosomal RNA, 253 nt
Filed under: uncultured organism
Description: partial 16S ribosomal RNA
Rfam family: Bacterial small subunit ribosomal RNA
Source: RNAcentral